AGAGUUUGAUCCUGGCUCAGGACGAACGCUGGCGGCGUGCUUAACACAUGCAAGUCGAACGGUGAAGCCCUUCGGGGUGGAUCAUUGGCGAACGGGUGAGUAACACGUGAGCAACCUGCCCUUCACUCUGGGAUAACUAUCGGAAACGGUGGCUAAUACCGGAUAUGACGCAUCCAGGCAUCUGGUGUGUGUGGAAAGUUUUUCGGUGGGGGAUGGGCUCGCGGCCUAUCAGCUUGUUGGUGGGGUGAUGGCCUACCAAGGCGACGACGGGUAGCCGGCCUGAGAGGGCGACCGGCCACACUGGGACUGAGACACGGCCCAGACUCCUACGGGAGGCAGCAGUGGGGAAUAUUGCGCAAUGGGCGGAAGCCUGACGCAGCGACGCCGCGUGGGGGAUGAAGGCCUUCGGGUUGUAAACCUCUUUCAGCAGGGAAGAAGCGGAAGUGACGGUACCUGCAGAAGAAGCACCGGCUAACUACGUGCCAGCAGCCGCGGUAAUACGUAGGGUGCAAGCGUUGUCCGGAAUUAUUGGGCGUAAAGAGCUCGUAGGCGGUCUGUCGCGUCUGCUGUGAAAACUCGGGGCUUAACUCCGGGCCUGCAGUGGGUACGGGCAGACUAGAGUGCGGUAGGGGAGACUGGAAUUCCUGGUGUAGCGGUGAAAUGCGCAGAUAUCAGGAGGAACACCGGUGGCGAAGGCGGGUCUCUGGGCCGUAACUGACGCUGAGGAGCGAAAGCGUGGGGAGCGAACAGGAUUAGAUACCCUGGUAGUCCACGCCGUAAACGUUGGGCGCUAGGUGUGGGGCUCUUUCCACGAGUUCCGUGCCGCAGCAAACGCAUUAAGCGCCCCGCCUGGGGAGUACGGCCGCAAGGCUAAAACUCAAAGGAAUUGACGGGGGCCCGCACAAGCGGCGGAGCAUGCGGAUUAAUUCGAUGCAACGCGAAGAACCUUACCAAGGCUUGACAUGGGCGGUAAUCCGGCAGAGAUGUCGGGUCCGUAAGGGCCGUUCACAGGUGGUGCAUGGUUGUCGUCAGCUCGUGCCGUGAGGUGUUAGGUUAAGUCCUUUAACGAGCGCAACCCUUGCCGUUAGUUACAAGUGUCUAGCGGGACUGCCCGGCUCAACUGGGAGGAAGGUGGGGAUGACGUCAAGUCAGCAUGGCCUUUAUAUCCUGGGCUACACACACGCUACAAUGGCCGGAACAAU
Molecule: ribosomal RNA, 1202 nt
Filed under: metagenome
Description: bacterial SSU rRNA
Rfam family: Bacterial small subunit ribosomal RNA
Source: RNAcentral